CAUAUACGACCGUACCGCAAACCGACACUGGUGCGCGAGAUGAGUAUUCUAAGGCGCUUGAGAGAACUCAGGAGAAGGAACUCGGCAAAUUGACACCGUAACUUCGGAAGAAGGUGUGCCCUAUUAGUGUGUAGUGAACAACGAAGCAUGAAUGGGUUGCAAAAAAUCGGUGGCUGCGACUGUUUAUUAAAAACACAGCACUCUGCAAACACGAAAGUGGACGUAUAGGGUGUGACGCCUGCCCGGUGCUGGAAGAUUAAAUGAUGGGGUGCAAGCUCUUGAUUGAAGUCCCAGUAAACGGCGGCCGUAACAAUAACGGUCCUAAGGUAGCGAAAUUCCUUGUCGGGUAAGUUCCGACCUGCACGAAUGGCGUAACGAUGGCCACACUGUCUCCUCCUGAGACUCAGCGAAGUUGAAAUGUUUGUGAUGAUGCAAUCUCCCCGCGGAAAGACGGAAAGACCCCAUGAACCUUUACUGUAGCUUUGUAUUGGACUUUGAACAGAUCUGUGUAGGAUAGGUGGGAGGCUUUGAAGCAGGGUCGCUAGAUCUUGUGGAGCCAACGUUGAAAUACCACCCUGGUGUUUGAGGUUCUAACCUAGGUCCAUUAUCUGGAUCGGGGACAGUGCAUGGUAGGCAGUUUGACUGGGGCGGUCUCCUCCCAAAGCGUAACGGAGGAGUUCGAAGGUACGCUAGUUACGGUCGGACAUCGUGACGAUAGUGCAAUGGCAUAAGCGUGCUUAACUGCGAGACUGACAAGUCGAGCAGAUGCGAAAGCAGGACAUAGUGAUCCGGUGGUUCUGUAUGGAAGGGCCAUCGCUCAACGGAUAAAAGGUACUCUGGGGAUAACAGGCUGAUACCGCCCAAGAGUUCAUAUCGACGGCGGUGUUUGGCACCUCGAUGUCGGCUCAUCUCAUCCUGGGGCUGUAGCCGGUCCCAAGGGUAUGGCUGUUCGCCAUUUAAAGAGGUACGUGAGCUGGGUUUAAAACGUCGUGAGACAGUUUGGUCCCUAUCUUCCGUGGGCGCUGCAGAUUUGAGGAAGCCUGCUCCUAGUACGAGAGGACCGGAGUGGACACACCUCUGGUGUAUCGGUUGUCACGCCAGUGGCAUUGCCGAGUAGCUAAGUGUGGAAGAGAUAACCGCUGAAAGCAUCUAAGCGGGAAACUCGUUUCAAGAUGAGAUCUGCCGGGGCCUUGAGCCCCCUAAAGAGUCGUUCAAGACCAGGACGUUGAUAGGUCAGGUGUGGAAGCGA
This 1249-nucleotide ribosomal RNA is filed under the name metagenome. Its description in RNAcentral is "bacterial LSU rRNA". It matches the Rfam family "Bacterial large subunit ribosomal RNA", at positions 1633 to 2876 of the family's 2925-position model. The record is from RNAcentral.